This is a long non-coding RNA of Haliotis rubra (blacklip abalone), 108 nucleotides long. RefSeq lists it as uncharacterized. NCBI's taxonomy places the organism in Eukaryota, Metazoa, Mollusca, Gastropoda, Lepetellida, Haliotidae. The transcript has 2 exons. The record is from RefSeq and is a predicted model, not a curated record.
AAGUCACCAACAGACUGCAGCAAGUGUACUAAUUUUAGUUACUUCACUACUGUCAAGGGUGUAAAACAAUGAACUAAACCCAGUCGUCGAAUAAAUCGAAUCACACCC